AGAGUUUGAUUCUGGCUCAGGAUGAACGCUGGCGGCGUGCUUAACACAUGCAAGUCGAACGGAGUUUUUAAACGGAAGUUUUUGGAUGGAAGUUUAGAAACUUAGUGGCGGACGGGUGAGUAACGCGUGGGUAACCUGCCUCAUACAGGGGGAUAACAGUUAGAAAUGACUGCUAACACCGCAUAAUAUAGCGAAACCGCAUGAUUUUUGCUAUCAAAUAUUUAUAGGUAUGAGAUGGGCCCGCGUCUGAUUAGCUAGUUGGUGGGGUAAAAGCCUACCAAGGCGACGAUCAGUAGCCGGCUUGAGAGAGUGACCGGCCACAUUGGGACUGAGACACGGCCCAAACUCCUACGGGAGGCAGCAGUGGGGAAUAUUGGACAAUGGGGGAAACCCUGAUCCAGCGAACCGCCGCGUGAGUGAAGAAGUAUUUCGGUAUGUAAAGCUCUAUCAGCAGGGAAGAUAAUGACAGUACCUGACUAAGAGGCCCCGGCUAACUACGUGCCAGCCGCAGC
RNAcentral lists this ribosomal RNA (512 nucleotides) under uncultured bacterium. Its description in RNAcentral is "bacterial SSU rRNA". It matches the Rfam family "Bacterial small subunit ribosomal RNA", at positions 8 to 518 of the family's 1533-position model. The record is from RNAcentral.